UGGACAAAUGGGAUUUGAGUGAAAGUGAC
Molecule: non-coding RNA, 29 nt
Filed under: Homo sapiens (human)
Lineage: Eukaryota; Metazoa; Chordata; Mammalia; Primates; Hominidae
Source: RNAcentral